AGUGAACGCUGGCGGUAGGCCUAACACAUGCAAGUCGAACGGCAGCACAGUAAGAGCUUGCUCUUACGGGUGGCGAGUGGCGGACGUGUGAGGAAUACAUCGGAAUCUACUUUUUCGGGGGGGAUAACGUAGGUAAACUUACGCUAAUACCGCAUACGCCCUACGGGUGAAAGCAGGGGAUCUUCGGACCUUGCGCGAUUGAAUUAGCCGAUGUCGGAUUAGCUAGUUGGCGGGGUAAAGGCCCACCAAGGCGACGAUCCGUAGCUGGUCUGAGAGGAUGAUCAGCCACACUGGAACUGAGACACGGUCCAGACUCCUACGGGAGGCAGCAGUGGGGAAUAUUGGACAAUGGGCGCAAGCCUGAUCCAGCCAGACCGCGUGGGUGAAGAAGGCCUUCGGGUUGUAAAGCCCUUUUGUUGGGAAAGAAAAGCAGCAGGUUAAUACCCCGCUGUUCUGACGGUACCCAAAGAAUAAGCACCGGCUAACUUCGUG
RNAcentral lists this ribosomal RNA (492 nucleotides) under uncultured bacterium. RNAcentral describes it as "partial 16S ribosomal RNA". It matches the Rfam family "Bacterial small subunit ribosomal RNA", at positions 29 to 507 of the family's 1533-position model. The record is from RNAcentral.